RNAcentral lists this ribosomal RNA (636 nucleotides) under Strongylium sp. UPOL ZL0034. RNAcentral describes it as "eukaryotic LSU rRNA". It matches the Rfam family "Eukaryotic large subunit ribosomal RNA", at positions 670 to 1262 of the family's 3401-position model. The record is from RNAcentral. Lineage: Eukaryota; Metazoa; Arthropoda; Insecta; Coleoptera; Tenebrionidae.
GGAGUCUAGCAUGUGCGCGAGUCAUUGGGACAUUACUAAACCUAAAGGCGCAAUGAAAGUGAAGGUCCGCCUCGCGCGGGCCGAGGGAGGAUGGGCGGCCGUUGCGGCUGUCGCCCCGCACUCCCGGGGCGUCUCGUUCUCAUUGCGAGAAGAGGCGCACCAAGAGCGUACACGCUGGGACCCGAAAGAUGGUGAACUAUGCCUGGUCAGGACGAAGUCAGGGGAAACCCUGAUGGAGGUCCGUAGCGAUUCUGACGUGCAAAUCGAUCGUCGGAACUGGGUAUAGGGGCGAAAGACUAAUCGAACCAUCUAGUAGCUGGUUCCCUCCGAAGUUUCCCUCAGGAUAGCUGGCGCUCGUUGCGCACGAGUUUCAUCCGGUAAAGCGAAUGAUUAGAGGCAUUGGGGUCGAAACGGCCUCAACCUAUUCUCAAACUUUAAAUGGGUGAGAUCUCCGGCUUGCUCGAACUAUUGAAGCCGCGAGACUCGAAUCAGAGUGCCAAGUGGGCCAUUUUUGGUAAGCAGAACUGGCGCUGUGGGAUGAACCAAACGCUGAGUUAAAGCGCCUAAAUCGACGCUUAUGGGAUACCAUGAAAGGCGUUGGUAACUUAAGACAUCAGGACGGUGGCCAUGGAAGUC